AUACGUAGGGGGCGAGCGUUGUCCGGAAUGACUGGGCGUAAAGGGCGUGUAGGCGGCGGUGUAAGUCUGGAGUGAAAGUCCCGCAUUCAAUGUGGGAAUUGCUUUGGAUACUGCAGUGCUAGAGUGCGGAAGGGGUAAGUGGAAUUCCCAGUGUAGCGGUGAAAUGCGUGAGAUUGGGAGGAACACCAGUGGCGAAGGCGACUUACUGGGCCGUAACUGACGCUGAGGCGCGAAAGCGUGGGGAGCGAACAGGAUUAGAUACCCUGGUAGUCCACGCGGUAAACGAUGAAUGCUAGGUGUUGCGGGUAUCGACCCCUGCAGUGCCGGAGUAAACACAAUAAGCAUUCCGCCUGGGGAGUACGGCCGCAAGGUUGAAACUCAAAGGAAUUGGCGGGG
Molecule: ribosomal RNA, 396 nt
Filed under: uncultured bacterium
Lineage: Bacteria
Description: partial 16S ribosomal RNA
Rfam family: Bacterial small subunit ribosomal RNA
Source: RNAcentral